Bufo bufo (common toad) is the source of this 2625-nucleotide long non-coding RNA. RefSeq lists it as uncharacterized. The record is from RefSeq and is a predicted model, not a curated record. Lineage: Eukaryota; Metazoa; Chordata; Amphibia; Anura; Bufonidae. The transcript has 2 exons.
UAACACAGUAUCAGACAUUUGUGUCCUUUCAACAUUAUCAGGACUAGGGAGCUCCUGCAGGAACAAAGGUCUGUGGCUGGACCCACGGUGGCAAUCAUUUACCUGAUCCCCGUUUCUGGAUUCUGGGUCCAUUACUCCCCUUCGGACGUCUCAGGCCUCACCAUGGUCAACAUCUGGUUUGACACGGAACAUGUGGCCGCUGCAGCCAGUGACAUGUCACCCAUGUAUCAGGUCAUUGGGUGACAAUUGGAGCCAGUCAUUGGUUGCAGCGGCCACAUGGGGUGUGCGGCUCUCCUGAGGUGUCCUUGUACCAUGGGUAGAUCAGAUAUGUGCAUUUCUCCAUGCCUUUCUUCCGCUUCUUGAUAUUUAUGGGUUAACUGUUCCCCUUAUUUUUUGUAUCUCUAGUUAGUUACUUUUUUCUCUCAGCAUUUACUGUAUACUACAUAUUUGAGACCUGCACAUAUAUCAGGACUACUGGUUUACAUUGGUUUAUGAAGGACAAAUUGCUAUUCAUACCAUUUCAUAUGUCCUACUUCCAUAUUGUACCAUACUCACACCUGCUAUUAGUUCGUGGGGUUGCUGCACUUUUUUUUCUUGGGGCAAGUUUCUUUUUUUUUACAAAUUUUUGUGCUAAUAAAAGGAUUAUAUAGUUUUGUACUUUGGGCUACAAUGACUCCCUUGUUUCAUUUGUGUAUUUUGCAGCAGCCACGUGACCUGCGUGACACCAUCCUAAGACUUGUGGCACCAGAGUGGGAGCGAUGGAGCCAGAACACAGCAGCGGGGAUCAGGCAAAGAGGCUUUCCCACUAAUGGUCCAGCCACGCUGGGGGGGGUCUGCAGAAACUGUGAACAGAGGUGAACAACCCAUUAAAAUCUGCCCAUCCCAGUUAUUCAGUCAAUAUUUAUAUCGAGCCCAAGACCAGCUCUAGACCGUGCUCGCGCCAAAUUUACUAUAUGCGAACCUGGCCUGAUGCAAUUUUUAUUCUUCAUUAGUCUAAUAUCUCUGGCUCUCUAAACUGGAGCAGUAUUCCAAUUAGGCUAAAUAGGCUAUAAAUACGUUAUUUUACAGCAGGAUACUUUUUUGGAAUCUGGACCCACUUUCUCCUUCUAAACAGCUCAAGUAGGUAACCUCCUACCAGGUGUGACUUUGCUGUAGGCUUCGGAUAGAACCAGCUGUGACGGUCAAGGCAGAGCAGCUGAAGACCGCGCGGCCAUGAAGGCCACAACUAUUUUCUAUAGAUUGCUUGCCUAUUGGUCGCGCUGUUUUGGGCUAAUGCGACUGAGAAUUGUUAAUGAUCCUUAGGAAAUAGAUGUGGCUUGCAUGUCCACGCAGUUUUCAGCCAGGCCUGGUCUAACCCAUAGCAUAGCUUUGUAAGAAGGAAAAACAGGUUAUUUCCAAAUAUGAAAGCAAAUAUGCAAGGUGUAGAACACUAUAGUGCAGCACACUAAUCUAUAAUGGCAUUUAUAUUAUAGCCAGCUUGUCAAACAUUGGCAAAUACUGAUGAUAAUGGACUUUAUCAGUUCAACAGGAACUGGUGACACCGCCGAGUUACUGAUGCCUGGCAAUCUGAAUUCUGGAGAAGAUUGAUCCAGUUGGAAACUUUGUUCUUCAUGUUCAGUAAAAUGACUGCUCUGACUACAAAAGCAAUGAUUAAAGGAAGUAGCCAUUAAAAUAAAAAAAGUCACCUAUUAUUUAAGUUUUUAGAUUUAAAAAAAAUUUGGGAAAAAACCCAAAAACUAAAAUCGUGCGGUUUACACUGGCCGCUACUCCUAAUAUGUUGAGGCUUCCUGUUCUGUACAAGUACUUUUUUUUUCCAGUAGUGAUCAUAUUUUCAAAUAUAUAUAUAUAUAUAUAUUUUUUAUAUAAACAGGAGCCACUAUUCACAAUAGGUGAUAUCACAGCUUAUCUACCCCCCCCCCCCCCGACCUCUGCACAGGUCACAGAGCAUGCCUAGAAAACUCUCCCAUAGAGGUCAAUGAGGUCUCCUCCUGUUCAUUGUGUCUAUGGCCCACGUGGCUGGUUUGAGGGUCUAGUUAUUGGCAAAUCCCACAGGUCCCAUUCUGCUCCAUACAGACAAAGGGAUCAGUGGUGGAUGCCUGUUGGAAGCAGUUUUCAGUCGUUUCCCGUGGACUCUCUAGGAUUUCCAAAAAACUGCACCAACAGAGUUUUGAAAAUAACUUCAUGGGCCCAAAGGUGAACAAAAACACCACAAACCAAAAAUCAUACUUUGUAUAAUUUUAUACAGUAUUUCACUACUAUUAUUUUUAAAGAAAAAAAACCACACACCUUUAUCUUUUGCCAGUCAGCCAUCCAGUGAUGUCAUCGCAUUUAAAGACAUUGUUAAAUUUGGAUUUCAGGUAAAUCAAAAGGAAAUUUAAAAAGACAAUAAUUCUUACAGUUAGCUACUUGUUUAAUUUUCUAAUAAAACAAUUAGGUGUACAAUAAGACAAUCAUUUAAUAGUCAUAUACAAAAAAAAAAAAAAAACAAAAAAAAAAAAACACCCAUUUGCAAGAAAACAGAUGGUGACAGACAGGUUUGAAGAUACAACACAAUUCUUUUCAAUUCUACAUGUAGAUCUAUCUUUUUUUGGCCAAUGACACUCCUCUGAUAAAAAAAAAAAAAAA